This 1370-nucleotide ribosomal RNA is filed under the name Nocardia sp. WMMB 909. RNAcentral's name for it is "bacterial SSU rRNA". It matches the Rfam family "Bacterial small subunit ribosomal RNA". Lineage: Bacteria; Bacillati; Actinomycetota; Actinomycetes; Mycobacteriales; Nocardiaceae. The record is from RNAcentral.
AUGCAAGUCGAGCGGUAAGGCCCUUCGGGGUACACGAGCGGCGAACGGGUGAGUAACACGUGGGUGAUCUGCCUCGCACUUCGGGAUAAGCCUGGGAAACUGGGUCUAAUACCGGAUAUGACUUCCAGCUGCAUGGUUGGUGGUGGAAAGAUUUAUCGGUGCGAGAUGGGCCCGCGGCCUAUCAGCUUGUUGGUGGGGUAAUGGCCUACCAAGGCGACGACGGGUAGCCGGCCUGAGAGGGCGACCGGCCACACUGGGACUGAGACACGGCCCAGACUCCUACGGGAGGCAGCAGUGGGGAAUAUUGCACAAUGGGCGAAAGCCUGAUGCAGCGACGCCGCGUGAGGGAUGACGGCCUUCGGGUUGUAAACCUCUUUCGACAGGGACGAAGCGCAAGUGACGGUACCUGUAGAAGAAGCACCGGCCAACUACGUGCCAGCAGCCGCGGUAAUACGUAGGGUGCGAGCGUUGUCCGGAAUUACUGGGCGUAAAGAGCUUGUAGGCGGUUUGUCGCGUCGUCUGUGAAAACUCACAGCUCAACUGUGAGCUUGCAGGCGAUACGGGCAGACUUGAGUACUGCAGGGGAGACUGGAAUUCCUGGUGUAGCGGUGAAAUGCGCAGAUAUCAGGAGGAACACCGGUGGCGAAGGCGGGUCUCUGGGCAGUAACUGACGCUGAGAAGCGAAAGCGUGGGUAGCGAACAGGAUUAGAUACCCUGGUAGUCCACGCCGUAAACGGUGGGCGCUAGGUGUGGGUUUCCUUCCACGGGAUCCGUGCCGUAGCUAACGCAUUAAGCGCCCCGCCUGGGGAGUACGGCCGCAAGGCUAAAACUCAAAGGAAUUGACGGGGGCCCGCACAAGCGGCGGAGCAUGUGGAUUAAUUCGAUGCAACGCGAAGAACCUUACCUGGGUUUGACAUACACCGGAAACCUGCAGAGAUGUAGGCCCCCUUGUGGUCGGUGUACAGGUGGUGCAUGGCUGUCGUCAGCUCGUGUCGUGAGAUGUUGGGUUAAGUCCCGCAACGAGCGCAACCCUUGUCCUGUGUUGCCAGCGCGUAAUGGCGGGGACUCGCAGGAGACUGCCGGGGUCAACUCGGAGGAAGGUGGGGANGACGUCAAGUCAUCAUGCCCCUUAUGUCCAGGGCUUCACACAUGCUACAAUGGCCGGUACAGAGGGCUGCGAUACCGNGAGGUGGAGCGAAUCCCUUAAAGCCGGUCUCAGUUCGGAUCGGGGUCUGCAACUCGACCCCGUGAAGUUGGAGUCGCUAGUAAUCGCAGAUCAGCAACGCUGCGGUGAAUACGUUCCCGGGCCUUGUACACACCGCCCGUCACGUCAUGAAAGUCGGUAACACCCGAAGCCGGUGGCCUAACCC